This is a non-coding RNA of Paramuricea clavata, 386 nucleotides long. Lineage: Eukaryota; Metazoa; Cnidaria; Anthozoa; Malacalcyonacea; Plexauridae. The record is from the annotation of a GenBank genome assembly.
CGAAGCAUUCAAGCAUCCCAAAGUCUAAAUUAAUACAUAGGAUUAUGAUGAUUAUAUCUACCAUUAUAGAAUUCAACACAAUCUAGAACUUGGCCUCUAGAUUCAGUCAAAUUUGUUGAGCAAUCAUGGAAUAUAGUUGAAGUUUUACUAUUUUAAACGCAAAUAUACAACAAACUGUUCAAAGCAAAAAGGCUACUUGUGGAAACCAGACUACUAGUAUUAAUCGAAGCUCGAAAACACACUGGAAGCGGCUGUAAAUUUAAAAAAUAGAGCGUAGAUUACGGUAUAUAGGGAAUAAAAGAUACUAACCUUUCUUAUAUAGCGUUGAAAUUUUCAUUUAAUCGCCGUUUCAUCUUGAAAAUUAACUCGUUUCGGCACAGAUAUAA